GCGGGAUUGAAAUUUGAAACAAGUUGGUCAUGAUUUCAAAAUUUGAACUGUCAACGCAAUCAAUGAAAAAACACAAAAUUGAGUCUUGUUUGUAAACUAAAUUCCUGGAAUUUGAGAAUGAGUUUCCACAAACGAACUUGUUUUGCUGUGGUGGGCUUCCCAUUUAAAUCUGGGCCUCUCUUUCGGUUUCCGCGUCCGAAAAAAGAGUCACUUUUUGCCAGACUAAAUUAAGAGCUCCAGUGUGUUCAAAAGUCUGUUCCCCAACUCAUUGCGUUCUGUUAAUAUUUGUCAAGAAAGAUACACGUAAGAAUAUAACAGUGAGGAGUUGCGGAAACAUGCGUCGUCGGUGUCGGUACCAAAAGUGGGAUUUUAAAACUUAGGUUUUAAUUCUUAAUUUUCUCAACCCAUAACAUUCUUCAGAUCAGAUGAAAAUUGAUUUUUCACCAGAAGUUAGCAAUCCCACUAUUGAUCUGUCUUUUUCCACAACACAAAAA
Long non-coding RNA from Tribolium madens (black flour beetle), 494 nucleotides. RefSeq lists it as uncharacterized. The record is from RefSeq and is a predicted model, not a curated record. Lineage: Eukaryota; Metazoa; Arthropoda; Insecta; Coleoptera; Tenebrionidae. The transcript has 3 exons.